CCUUAAAAUCACGCCGUUGGUGCUCGCGGUGUGGUUCACAUACCGCAGUUCAACGGGAAGCAGGGAGGUUUCACCAAACAUGGUGCGCCCAGCCUGCGCUGCCCCCGCAACGGUCAGCGGACGAAUCAUUCGAUUCCCUCUCCAUUCACAAGCCACUGGGCGCCUUGAACAAGCGCCUGGGAAGGCAUUGGAGGGCGUUCCGCCAGCCCGGAUACCGGCCAACACGGUGGUUGCGUG
This 237-nucleotide non-coding RNA is filed under the name Acidovorax carolinensis. Lineage: Bacteria; Pseudomonadati; Pseudomonadota; Betaproteobacteria; Burkholderiales; Comamonadaceae. The record is from RNAcentral. RNAcentral also lists the same sequence under 1 other name.